RNAcentral lists this long non-coding RNA (509 nucleotides) under Equus asinus (donkey). RNAcentral describes it as "lncRNA (ENSEASG00005028527.1)". Lineage: Eukaryota; Metazoa; Chordata; Mammalia; Perissodactyla; Equidae. The record is from RNAcentral.
GUUGUUCCUCGCUUGUCCAGCCAGCCUCCCAGAUCGACCCUGAGAGAAAGGGCCCCGCUCCCAGGGGCCGAAGGUGCUGAUGGGGGAGAGAGGUCCGGAACACAGAGGCCGCGCUAAUUUGCCCUUUACGGGAAGGAAACACCAGACAGAUGUCAGCAAGAAAUGUUCCCUGUGACCAGCUCCACCCUUUCUCCUAUGUUUGUUCACUCUUUACAAAAGCCGAUGGAGGUGUCCCCCCAUCUACAGAGGAGGAAGACAAGAGCCGUGAAGCGAGGAUAAUGAAGCGGAACAAACAGGCAGUAGGAGGAAGUGAGUGGGAUCUGGACAGGUGGAGGAGUAGAGAGAAGCGGGUCCCUUCCCCUGCUCUGAGGCGCCCCAUCCUACACCAAGUGUGUCCCGGGGCAGGGGUGAAUCCUGGAUGUCAGAGGUCUGGGUGCCAAGUUGGCGAUGUUAUGCCCCUUGAUGAAGGGCGCAGGUCCUGCCUGAGGUCCCUGCUGGGGGAGGGGGUG